This is a long non-coding RNA of Tigriopus californicus, 4088 nucleotides long. RefSeq lists it as uncharacterized. NCBI's taxonomy places the organism in Eukaryota, Metazoa, Arthropoda, Copepoda, Harpacticoida, Harpacticidae. The transcript has 3 exons. The record is from RefSeq and is a predicted model, not a curated record.
GGGGUACUCUCGUUUUUUUUUCUUUUUCGUAAAAGAAAGUAUGAGAUAUGUCGGUGAUAAGAUCGGCAAAAACUGUCUCCACGAGAUGAACAACAAUAAGGAAAUGUCACAUCACCCUCCUCGAGUUCGUAUUACCUCAGUAAAAUCGGCAACACUGACUCACAGCAACCAGUUCGAUCCAGCGCUCCAAACGGCUAGAGCUUUUACUGUUAUGUUGUUCUAGUUUCCUUUUACGAAACCUUUUAAAAAAGCACAAGAAUGUAAAGAUAGCCCUCGAAACCUGUCUCAAUCCAACAAGACGACCGUGCCAGAUUCAACCCCAUCAGAGGAUCGCUCUAACCCCAGGAGGUCCAGUGCAGUGUCCAAGGGCAAAAACACAGGAAGAUUCCUCCCUUGCCAUUUCUCCAAAGGGAGCCUAGGGCAAUGUUCGAAUGAUGACGGCAUUUGCUCAUUUCACACUAAGUUUGCCAUAAGAGAUUUGGGGGUUGAGAGAGGCGGAUCUUUUCCACUCCAUAAAAUUAAACUCAACAAGCGGGUCGAAAUCAAUUUCAUUCCACUUUGAACCCUGGGAGGCAUUCAAGGUGUUCGGAGUGAAUUCGUCUUUUUACCUUUUCUUUAGCAACCAUAAGGAGCUGCCAUUAAUGUCAGCGAAUGACAUGAGUCAUAUUUGUUCGGCAAUUUCGUGGACGACUAGCAAGGGAACAGUUUUCAGACAAGGAAGACGACAGAAGUCUGGGCUUUGGCCCAACAAACAGCUUUAUAACACCUUCCAGACCAAACAAGGCCAAUUUAGUUCAUUGCUCCUUUUCAUGGGGGAAGGGAAUACUCAUGCGCUUUAAGCCUCUACGGUCAAUGAAGCCGGAUUUUUUCGGGGCGAACUACGAAGUACGAUACAGGGCGAUUCACAACUCUGGACACUUCAAAAAUUCAUACAAUGGAAAUGUUAGGUCAAAAUAUGUGACUGCAUUCGAAUUGUUGUCAAGGCGAGGAAACAGUUUAUAAUAGCAAGUCACCAGAAGCACACCUGCUCAACAAAUUCAUUAAUGGCCAAUUAAAUAUUACACAUUUACCGCGACGUAAGUCAAAUUGUGACCUUUUUAGAAAAUAAGAAAGUCAUGCUAAAUGACAUAUUUUCCACACGACAUGAGUACUACUUUAUGGCAUUGUCUAAAGCACCCUGUAAAUAAAAAAAAAAUCCCAAUCCCGACGUCUAGAAAAACACCUAAGUCAAGGAAGGUGGAUGAGCAACGAACGGAGAGUGCUCGCUGCUCGUGCCAGCCAAGAAUGAGCGAAGACUCAGAACUGUUACCUUAGACUUCAAUUCCUGGGUCUCUCUCUACUCGAAAACACUGCCCCUGGAUUGAGAACAUUGGGGUGGCGAUAGGCCGACGACUACCAAACCAAGAUGAUUACCUUGUCGGCCCGACUCUCGGGGCUGGAAUUAUACGGCUUGAAGGCGACGUGAUUUUCGUUCUUGAUCAAAUGUUCGGUAUUGUACAAUUGCGUCUGUUGGGCAUUGGGGGACAUGCUGCCCUCGGGAGAUCCAGGACCUUCAUCGUGUCGAUGAGAAGGCACGACUCGGGCCACCCGGACGUCUUCAAUCACAGCAUUGUUCCAAUGAGAUUCGGCCAAGAGUCUUUGGGAAUUCUGGUGAGCUGUGUUGGCGUGCAGCAAAGAUUGGUAGGAGGAGUUCAUCAUGUUACAAUACAUGGAUGAAUUGUCCAAAAGAGCCAUCUUCAGCACCUGUUCCUCAAGCUCAACUCAAGUUGAUGACAAGUGGAAGUGAGCCGCCGGAUCCACGAGGGGGUUGUAAGAAAACGUGACUUGCAAGACCAAAUCGCAAAACCGCACAAGUUCAAAAAAGGAAUCACACCAAGGACAUGACACCGGUUGCCUCUGGGGUCGGGGAGUGAAUACCAAAUGGUUCACUUUACGGAAUCAACUCACGUCCCUCUGUCUCUCUGUCAGUCUCUUUCCCUUUCUCUCCGAGGGUGGCGACUCUCAGGGGGGACUUUUCGCACCCUCCUCAAGUUUUACCCACGGGCUGAGAAAAAAUUCCCGAAUCACACCGCACGGACUGGGAGUGGUGCUCUAUUGGCGAGUACGGUAAGAGGAAUGAGACUGACGAGUGAGCGACAUGAAAGUUUUUGGCUUGAAGGACAGAGCUCACCAUGCGCUCGCCGGCGUUUCUCACAUUCCGCAGGGACACUCCGAAGGGACACUUGGAGGUUCAAGCGGUGAUCCCUCGCCAUUUGCAACACGCUCUCCCCCCAUGAGACCUGAUCAAACUCCUCUUCAAAUAUGAUAGUAAUUCGGGUCACGAUCUACGAUUAUUAAUUUCAUCAAGUUAUCAAUGGGUGGAUGGGCAUCAAGCAUAAGUUGGGCGAUAGAUGUGACCAACGAUAAGGAACCGUUUGCCACGAUGCAGAUGCUCCCCAUUUUCAAUCUCGGGCAUACUUUUUGCAAUAUGCAGAUCGAUCUUUGGAAAAAUUUGACGUAUAAAAACUUGUUUGAAUAUGUGAAACCGUUAUGGAUUGAUCUCCCAUUCACAUUUCACAAUCCUCCAAAGGUUCCCGAAUUCAAAUCAGUUCACCGAUUUUUGGGCUCGAAAAAAAAGGUUCCUUCAACUGCUCCUCCCGGAGUUUGAGUUUGAGAGCAAAAAACGUGUUCGAUAUUCAAUCUCUUUACGUCUACGUUCGUCCAUAUGCAAUCGGUAGCUUUUUCUCAUGGAAUACUAAGUAUGCUCAUUUGAAUGUGGCUCUAUAACUUUUGCCGAGUACGAUUCCCAUUCUCCCCCAAGAGCGCCUGCCAUCGCUACCGCCACCAGCACCUCCAUCAUGUGCAUGUAUUAUCGCAUUAUCGGCUUGGGUUCUCGAAUUGAAGUAUUCAAAUAAUGCCAUUCUCCGUGUGAUUGGAAUCGCCCGGCGCUUCCUUUGUCAACACCCCUUUCGCCUCCGGGGAAAUCCAAGAACCACGACGACAUUUCUGAACCACCGAAGGAGCUCUCAAAUGGCUUUCUUUCUAGUCGUUAUUGGAGGUCCGUUUGCCUCAUUGGGAAAGGGUUUUCAUGAAGCGGGUGGUGUUCACACGUUCAAAGUGCAGAUGGAACAAAGUGGCUUAAUGAAAACUCCGGCUUUAUUUUAACGCUUCCAUGCAAGGAGUAAGCCAAUUAAUCUCUUGCAUAUCAUUAUCCAUGCCAGUAACAUGUUCUCAUGACUCACCCAAAAUCGCCAGCUUAUCACUCUAAACUCAACAGCUCUUUUCUUGAUUGGAUAAUGGAUUCAUCAAGGGUUUUCGAGGAAAAAAGCCCGGAAAAGUGGAAAGCAGCUUUUUUUCCUUUCCCAGGCUAUAAAAUGAUGUGAGUGUUAAUCCCCUGGCCAUCUGAAUCUCUCCGAAUCAAAUCAAUGAUUCAAUAUCAAUCCCCAUUUUCUGGGAUUGCAUCCCAAAAUACAGUGAGAAAAGCCUGCGUGAUCUGGGCGUGCAGAGGCAGAUGAAUCCGGACCAAGCAUUUUCACAAUCACGGAAAUCCGAGAAAUUCUCCCUUCUUUUGUUCGGCGAGCUUUUGGCUUUUUCGCCCUGAAUGAGCGGGCAUAAAAGACACCCUCGACGCUGUAAACGCCUCCAUCAGCCCAUUCAACUCUCUCUCUCGAUAGGUCGUCAUUGUGGCGGGCAUCCAUUCCAAUGGAUGGAAGCACCAGAAUGGUUCCCCUCGAUUCCCUCGAGUUUUUCAAACUCGAGGAGCGACAGGUGGUUGUUGGUGUUGUUGGUGUUGUUGCUCUUGUUGUAGUGGUAGUUGUUGGUGAUACUUGGAGUUUUGUCGUAUACCCGGUUACCGUAUACGGAGCGGAGAGAGGGCAUGCAUGCAUAUGUACAUGCAUAUUAAGGAUAAUCAGACAAACCCAAAAAUCAGUGGCACUCCUGAUGGGAACUUUUUUCCUGCUUUGCAUUCGGGAUGGGAUGAUGGGGUGAAUUGAGCUCUCCCUGAAUAUUUAUUAGCGUCUCUUUUGGUUUCGAAACGCGUUGGUGGUGGGGUUUGUACUACUAUGUACUACAAUCCAGAGAUUCCAGAAUAUGUGGAGGCAAAUAUA